This 1740-nucleotide ribosomal RNA is filed under the name Salmonella enterica subsp. enterica serovar Tennessee str. 3133. RNAcentral's name for it is "bacterial LSU rRNA". It matches the Rfam family "Bacterial large subunit ribosomal RNA", at positions 1220 to 2925 of the family's 2925-position model. Lineage: Bacteria; Pseudomonadati; Pseudomonadota; Gammaproteobacteria; Enterobacterales; Enterobacteriaceae. The record is from RNAcentral.
GUUGUUGGGUAGGGGAGCGUUCUGUAAGCCUGUGAAGGUGUGUCGUGAGGCAUGCUGGAGGUAUCAGAAGUGCGAAUGCUGACAUAAGUAACGAUAAAGCGGGUGAAAAGCCCGCUCGCCGGAAGACCAAGGGUUCCUGUCCAACGUUAAUCGGGGCAGGGUGAGUCGACCCCUAAGGCGAGGCCGAAAGGCGUAGUCGAUGGGAAACGGGUUAAUAUUCCCGUACUUGGUGUUACUGCGAAGGGGGGACGGAGAAGGCUAUGUUGGCCGGGCGACGGUUGUCCCGGUUUAAGCGUGUAGGUGUGUGUUCCAGGUAAAUCCGGUUCACUUUAACACUGAGGCGUGACGACGAGGCACUACGGUGCUGAAGCAACAAAUGCCCUGCUUCCAGGAAAAGCCUCUAAGCAUCAGGUAACAUCAAAUCGUACCCCAAACCGACACAGGUGGUCAGGUAGAGAAUACCAAGGCGCUUGAGAGAACUCGGGUGAAGGAACUAGGCAAAAUGGUGCCGUAACUUCGGGAGAAGGCACGCUGACAUGUAGGUGAAGUGAUUUACUCAUGGAGCUGAAGUCAGUCGAAGAUACCAGCUGGCUGCAACUGUUUAUUAAAAACACAGCACUGUGCAAACACGAAAGUGGACGUAUACGGUGUGACGCCUGCCCGGUGCCGGAAGGUUAAUUGAUGGGGUCAGCGCAAGCGAAGCUCCUGAUCGAAGCCCCGGUAAACGGCGGCCGUAACUAUAACGGUCCUAAGGUAGCGAAAUUCCUUGUCGGGUAAGUUCCGACCUGCACGAAUGGCGUAAUGAUGGCCAGGCUGUCUCCACCCGAGACUCAGUGAAAUUGAACUCGCUGUGAAGAUGCAGUGUACCCGCGGCAAGACGGAAAGACCCCGUGAACCUUUACUAUAGCUUGACACUGAACAUUGAGCCUUGAUGUGUAGGAUAGGUGGGAGGCUUUGAAGUGUGGACGCCAGUCUGCAUGGAGCCGACCUUGAAAUACCACCCUUUAAUGUUUGAUGUUCUAACGUGGACCCGUUAUCCGGGUUGCGGACAGUGUCUGGUGGGUAGUUUGACUGGGGCGGUCUCCUCCUAAAGAGUAACGGAGGAGCACGAAGGUUGGCUAAUCCUGGUCGGACAUCAGGAGGUUAGUGCAAUGGCAUAAGCCAGCUUGACUGCGAGCGUGACGGCGCGAGCAGGUGCGAAAGCAGGUCAUAGUGAUCCGGUGGUUCUGAAUGGAAGGGCCAUCGCUCAACGGAUAAAAGGUACUCCGGGGAUAACAGGCUGAUACCGCCCAAGAGUUCAUAUCGACGGCGGUGUUUGGCACCUCGAUGUCGGCUCAUCACAUCCUGGGGCUGAAGUAGGUCCCAAGGGUAUGGCUGUUCGCCAUUUAAAGUGGUACGCGAGCUGGGUUUAGAACGUCGUGAGACAGUUCGGUCCCUAUCUGCCGUGGGCGCUGGAGAACUGAGGGGGGCUGCUCCUAGUACGAGAGGACCGGAGUGGACGCAUCACUGGUGUUCGGGUUGUCAUGCCAAUGGCACUGCCCGGUAGCUAAAUGCGGAAGAGAUAAGUGCUGAAAGCAUCUAAGCACGAAACUUGCCCCGAGAUGAGUUCUCCCUGAGACUUAGAGUCUCCUGAAGGAACGUUGAAGACGACGACGUUGAUAGGCCGGGUGUGUAAGCGCAGCGAUGCGUUGAGCUAACCGGUACUAAUGAACCGUGAGGCUUAACCUUACAACGCCGAAG